Molecule: long non-coding RNA, 470 nt
Filed under: Anas zonorhyncha (Eastern spot-billed duck)
Lineage: Eukaryota; Metazoa; Chordata; Aves; Anseriformes; Anatidae
Description: lncRNA (ENSAZOG00000011559.1)
Source: RNAcentral
CCCUGGGAUUUUGGGGGGUGGGGGGGACCCCAAAAAUACGGGGCAGGGGGUCCCCAAAUUACUGGGGGGGGACCCCCAAAACCCCGCCCCACAGCGCUGGGGCGCCCCAUAGGGUGUGUGCCGUGGGGUGCCCCAUAAGUCCCAUGGGGCGCCCCAUAGGGCCCCAUGUCUGCCAUGGGGCGCCCCAUAUCGAUCUAUGGGGUGCCCUAUAGGGCCCUGUCUUUGCCAUGGGGCGCCCCACAGAGCCCCAUAAGUGCCAUAGGGCGCCCUAUAUUGGGCUGUGGGGCACCCAUAGGGCCCAGUCUGUGUUGUGGGGCACCCCAUAGGGCCCCAUCUCUGCCAUGGGGCACCCCAUAGGGCCCCAUUUUUUCCAUGGGGCACCCCAUAGAGCCCUGUACUUGCCAUGCCCCCCCCCCCAGUGCCGUGGGGGCCCCCAGACGGCCCCGGCGGGCCCCCCCGGCGGGCUUUUU